UAUAUAGUGGAAUGAAACUUCGGUCGAGUGAAGCUAUAGAGAGCGGCGGACGGGUGAGUAACGCGUAGGCAACCUGCCCCAUACAGAGGGAUAGCCUCGGGAAACCGGGAUUAAAACCUCAUAACGCGAGGAGUUCACAUGGACUUCUCGCCAAAGAUUCAUCGGUAUGGGAUGGGCCUGCGUCUGAUUAGCUAGUUGGUGAGGUAACGGCUCACCAAGGCGACGAUCAGUAGCCGACCUGAGAGGGUAAUCGGCCACAUUGGAACUGAGACACGGUCCAAACUCCUACGGGAGGCAGCAGUGGGGAAUAUUGCACAAUGGGCGAAAGCCUGAUGCAGCAACGCCGCGUGAGCGAUGAAGGCCUUUGGGUCGUAAAGCUC
Molecule: ribosomal RNA, 380 nt
Filed under: uncultured bacterium
Lineage: Bacteria
Description: bacterial SSU rRNA
Rfam family: Bacterial small subunit ribosomal RNA
Source: RNAcentral